RNAcentral lists this ribosomal RNA (1308 nucleotides) under metagenome. Its description in RNAcentral is "bacterial SSU rRNA". It matches the Rfam family "Bacterial small subunit ribosomal RNA", at positions 199 to 1498 of the family's 1533-position model. The record is from RNAcentral.
GGGGAUCGCAAGACCUUGCGCUGAUUGAGCGGCCGAUAUCAGAUUAGCUUGUUGGUGAGGUAAAAGCUCACCAAGGCGACGAUCUGUAGCGGGUCUGAGAGGAUGAUCCGCCACACUGGAACUGAGACACGGUCCAGACUCCUACGGGAGGCAGCAGUGGGGAAUUUUGGACAAUGGGGGCAACCCUGAUCCAGCCAUGCCGCGUGAGUGAAGAAGGCCUUCGGGUUGUAAAGCUCUUUCAGCCGGGAAGAAAACGCAUGGGUUAAUACCCUGUGUGGAUGACGGUACCGGAAUAAGAAGCACCGGCUAACUACGUGCCAGCAGCCGCGGUAAUACGUAGGGUGCGAGCGUUAAUCGGAAUUACUGGGCGUAAAGCGUGCGCAGGCGGUUUUGUAAGACAGGCGUGAAAUCCCCGGGCUUAACCUGGGAACUGCGUUUGUGACUGCAAGGCUAGAGUACGGCAGAGGGGGGUGGAAUUCCACGUGUAGCAGUGAAAUGCGUAGAGAUGUGGAGGAACACCAAUGGCGAAGGCAGCCCCCUGGGUCGAUACUGACGCUCAUGCACGAAAGCGCGGGUAGCAAACAGGAUUAGAUACCCUGGUAGUCCACGCCCUAAACGAUGUCAACUAGGUGUUGGGAGGGUAAAACCUUUUAGUACCGGAGCUAACGCGUGAAGUUGACCGCCUGGGGAGUACGGCCGCAAGGUUAAAACUCAAAGGAAUUGACGGGGACCCGCACAAGCGGUGGAUGAUGUGGAUUAAUUCGAUGCAACGCGAAAAACCUUACCUACCCUUGACAUGCCAAGAACUUUCCAGAGAUGGAUUGGUGCCCGAAAGGGAACUUGGACACAGGUGCUGCAUGGCUGUCGUCAGCUCGUGUCGUGAGAUGUUGGGUUAAGUCCCGCAACGAGCGCAACCCUUGUCGUUAAUUGCCAUCAUUUAGUUGGGCACUUUAACGAGACUGCCGGUGACAAACCGGAGGAAGGUGGGGAUGACGUCAAGUCCUCAUGGCCCUUAUGGGUAGGGCUUCACACGUCAUACAAUGGUCGGUACAAAGGGUCGCCAAGCCGCGAGGUGGAGCCAAUCCCAGAAAACCGAUCGUAGUCCGGAUCGCAGUCUGCAACUCGACUGCGUGAAGUCGGAAUCGCUAGUAAUCGUGGAUCAGAAUGUCACGGUGAAUACGUUCCCGGGUCUUGUACACACCGCCCGUCACACCAUGGGAGCGGGUUCCGCCAGAAGUAGGUAGCCUAACCGCAAGGAGGGCGCUUACCACGGCGGGGUUCGUGACUGGGGUGAAGUCGAACAAGGUA